RNAcentral lists this ribosomal RNA (128 nucleotides) under uncultured eukaryote. Its description in RNAcentral is "partial small subunit ribosomal RNA". It matches the Rfam family "Eukaryotic small subunit ribosomal RNA", at positions 1651 to 1772 of the family's 1831-position model. The record is from RNAcentral.
CCCUGCCCUUUGUACACACCGCCCGUCGCUACUAUCGAUUGAGCGGUUCAGUGAGGGCCUCGGAUUGGUCUCGGUCUGGCACGCAAGUGCCGGCACCGCUGGCCGAGAAGAAGCUCGAACUCGAUCGC